GAUGAACGCUGGCGGCGUGCCUAAUACAUGCAAGUCGAGCGAACAGACGAGGAGCUUGCUUCUCUGACGUUAGCGGCGGACGGGUGAGUAACACGUGGAUAACCUACCUAUAAGACUGGGAUAACUUCGGGAAACCGGAGCUAAUACCGGAUAAUAUAUUGAACCGCAUGGUUCAAUAGUGAAAGACGGUUUUGCUGUCACUUAUAGAUGGAUCCGCGCCGCAUUAGCUAGUUGGUAAGGUAACGGCUUACCAAGGCAACGAUGCGUAGCCGACCUGAGAGGGUGAUCCGCCACACUGGAACUGAGACACGGUCCAGACUCCUAAGGGAGGCAGCAGUAGGGAAUCUUCCGCAAUGGGCGAAAGCCUGACGGAGCAAAGCCGCGUGAGUGAUGAAGGUCUUCGGAUCGUAAAACUCUGUUAUUAGGGAAGAAAAAAUGUGUAAGUAAAUAUGCACGUCUUGACGGUACCUAAUCAGAAAGCCACGGCUAACUACGUG
Molecule: ribosomal RNA, 497 nt
Filed under: uncultured bacterium
Lineage: Bacteria
Description: partial 16S ribosomal RNA
Rfam family: Bacterial small subunit ribosomal RNA
Source: RNAcentral